This 694-nucleotide ribosomal RNA is filed under the name uncultured bacterium. Its description in RNAcentral is "bacterial SSU rRNA". It matches the Rfam family "Bacterial small subunit ribosomal RNA", at positions 140 to 828 of the family's 1533-position model. The record is from RNAcentral.
GGGAUAAUCGGGAGAAAUCCCGUCUAAUACCGCGUAAUGCCGCGGGGCUGCAUGGCCCUGCGGCCAAAGGGAGCGAUUCCGGCAACGGAUGGGCAUGCGUGACAUUAGCUAGUUGGCGGGGCAACGGCCCACCAAGGCGACGAUGUCUAGGGGUUCUGAGAGGAAGGUCCCCCACACUGGUACUGAGACACGGACCAGACUCCUACGGGAGGCAGCAGUGAGGAAUAUUGGUCAAUGGGCGCGAGCCUGAACCAGCCAAGUCGCGUGAGGGAUGACGGCCCUACGGGUUGUAAACCUCUUUUGUCGGGGAGCAAAUUCCGCCACGUGUGGCGGAGUCGAGAGUACCCGAAGAAAAAGCAUCGGCUAACUCCGUGCCAGCAGCCGCGGUAAUACGGAGGAUGCGAGCGUUAUCCGGAUUUAUUGGGUUUAAAGGGUGCGUAGGCGGACUGUCAAGUCAGCGGUAAAAUACGGGGGCUCAACCUCCGCCCGCCGUUGAAACUGACGGUCUUGAGUGGGCGAGAAGUAUGCGGAAUGCGUGGUGUAGCGGUGAAAUGCAUAGAUAUCACGCAGAACUCCGAUUGCGAAGGCAGCAUACCGGCGCCCGACUGACGCUGAAGCACGAAAGCGUGGGUAUCGAACAGGAUUAGAUACCCUGGUAGUCCACGCAGUAAACGAUGAAUACUAGCUGUCCGGG